This 4130-nucleotide long non-coding RNA is filed under the name Cyanistes caeruleus (blue tit). RNAcentral describes it as "lncRNA (ENSCCEG00000000735.1)". Lineage: Eukaryota; Metazoa; Chordata; Aves; Passeriformes; Paridae. The record is from RNAcentral.
UUCUCCCGGUAUCCCCGGUAUUCCCGGUAUUCCCGGUUUCCCGGUACCUGCUUGCAGCGCUCCAGGAACGCCGCCCGGAUUUCCCAUCCCCAUUCCCAUUACCCCCAGUAUCCCGGUAUCCCCGGUGUCCCCCAUUCCCGGUAUUCCCGGUAUCCCCGGUAUCCCCGGUAUCCCCGGUAUUCCCGGUAUUCCCGGUAUCCCCAUCCCCCAUUCCCGGUAUCCCCGGUAUUCCCGGUAUCCCCGGUUUCCCGGUAUUCCCGGUAUUGUAUCCCGGUAUUCCCGGUUUCCCGGUACCUGCUUGCAGCGCUCCAGGAACGCCGCCCGGAUUUCCCAUCCCCAUUCCCAUUACCCCCAGUAUCCCGGUAUCCCCGGUGUCCCCCAUUCCCGGUAUCCCCGGUAUUCCCGGUAUUCCCGGUAUUCCCGGUUUCCCGGUAUCCCCCAUCCCGGUAUUCCCGGUUUCCCGGUACCUGCUUGCAGCGCUCCAGGAACGCCGCCCGGAUUUCCCAUCCCCAUUCCCAGUAUCCCGGUAUUCCCGGUAUCCCCGGUAUUCCCGGUAUUCCCGGUUUCCCGGUACCUGCUUGCAGCGCUCCAGGAACGCCGCCCGGAUUUCCCAUUCCCAUUCCCAGUAUCCCGGUAUCCCUGGUAUCCCCGGUAUCCCCGGUAUUCCCGGUAUUCCCGGUAUUCCCGGUAUUCCCGGUAUUCCCGGUAUCCCCGGUAUCCCCGGUAUUCCCGGUUUCCCGGUACCUGCUUGCAGCGCUCCAGGAACGCCGCCCGGAUUUCCCUGGGGGAGGCUCCAGGACGAACCCCGAGCACCGAGUGGGGGUCGGGGGGGCCCGGCCUGGGGGGGUUGGGAGAAUUUGGGGAAUUUGGGGAAUUUUUGGGGAAUUUUUGGAAUUUUUGGGAAUUUUUGGGGAUUUUUGGGAAUUUUUGGGGAAUUUUGGGGAAUUUUUGGGGAUUUUUUGGGAUUUUUUUGAGAUUUUGGGGGAUUUUUUGGAGAUUUUUUGGGAUUUUUUGGGAUUUUUUGGGGGAAUUUUGGGGGAUUUUGGGGAAUUUUGGGGUAAUUUUGGAGAUUUUGGGGAUUUUUGGGAAUUUUUGGGGAUUUUUGGGAAUUUUUGGGAAUUUUUUUGAGAUUUUUUUGCGGGAUUUUGGGGGAUUUUUGGUAUUUUUGGGGGGAUUUUUUUUUUAUUUUGGGGAGAUUUUUUGGAGAAUUUGGGGGGAUUUUGGGGAAUUUUGGGGAAUUUUGGGAAUUUUUGGGGAAUUUUUGGGAAUUUUUUGGGAAUUUUUGGGAAUUUUUUGGGGAUUUUUUGAGAUUUUUGGGGAUUUUUUUGAGAUUUUUUGGGGGGAUAUUUUUGGGAUUUUUUGGGAUUUUUGGGGGGAAUUUUGGGGGAUUUUUGGGGAUUUUGGGGUAAUUUUGGAGAUUUUGGGGAUUUUGGGAAUUUUCGGGGAAUUUUUGGGAUUUUUGGAGAUUUUUUGGGGGGAUGUUGGGAAUUUUUGGUAUUUUUGGGGGGAUUUUUUUGGAUUUUGGGGGGAUUUUUUUUGGAAUUUGGGGGGAUUUUGGGUAAUUUUGGGGGAAUUUUGGAGAUUUUGGGGAUUUUGGGGAUUUUCGGGGAUUUUUUGGGAUUUUUUUGAGAUUUUUUGGGGGGAUUUUUGGAAUUUUUGGGAUUUUUGGGGGGAUUUUUUUUGGAUUUUUGGUGGAUUUUUUUGGAUAUUUUGGGGAAUUUGGGGGGAUUUUGGGGAAUUUUGGGGUAAUUUUGGAGAUUUUGGGGAUUUGGGGAAUUUUUUGGGAUUUUUUGGGAUUUUUUGGGAUUUUUUUGAGAUUUUUUUGGGGGAUUUUGGGGGUUUUUUGGUAUUUUUGGGGGGAUUUUUUUGGGAUUUUUUAGGGGGAUUUUUGGGAUUUUUGAGAUUUUUUGGGGGGAUAUUUUUGGGAUUUUUUUGGGGAAUUUUGGGGGAUUUUGGGGAAUUUUGGGGUAAUUUUGGAGAUUUUGGGGGAAUUUUUUGGGAUUUUUUUGAGAUUUUGGGGAUUUUCGGAAUUUUUGGGAUUUUUUUUGAUUUUUGGGAUUUUUUGGGAUUUUUUUGGAGAUUUUUUGGGGGGGAUUUGGGGGAUUUUUUUUGGAAUUUGGGGGGAUUUUGGGUAAUUUUGGGGUAAUUUUGGAGAUUUUGGGGAUUUUGGGGGAUUUUUGGAGAUUUUGGGGGAAUUUUUUUGGAUUUUUUGGAGAUUUUGGGGGGAUUUUGGGAAUUUUUGGGGAUUUUUUGGGAUUUUUUGAGAUUUUUUGGGAUUUUUUGAGAUAUUUUGGGGGGAUUUUUGGGAUUUUUGGGGAAUUUUGGGGGAUUUUGGGAAUUUUUGGGGAUUUCUUUGAUUUUUAGAGAUUUCUUGGGGGAUUUUUGGGAUUUUGGGGGAUUUUUUUUGGAAUUUUUUGGAAUUUUUUUUGAUUUCUUGGGGGAUUUUUGGGGAUUUUUUGGGGAUUUUUUUGGGGGAUUUUGGGAAUUUUGGGGGAUUUUUUUGGAUUUUGUAGAUUUUUAGGGAUUUCUUGGGGGAUUUUUGGGCUUUUGGGGGAUUUUUUUGGAAUCUUUUGGGAUUUUUGGGGAUUUUUUUGGGGUUUUUUUGGGUAUUUUUGGGAUUUUAGGGGAUUUUUGGGGGGAUUUUGGGUGAAUUUUUGGGAAUUUUUGGGAAUUUUUAAGGAUUUUUGGUGAUUUUGGGGGAUUUUGGCGAUUUUGGUUUUUUUUUAUUUUUUUUAUUUUUUUUGGAUUUUUUGGGGAUUUUUGGGGAUUUUGGGAUUUUUUUGGAUUUUUUUGGAUUUUUUUGUAUUUUUGUGGGAUUUUUGGGGAUUUUUUUUAUUUUUGGGGGGAUUUUGGGGGAUUUUUGGUUUUUUUAAAUUUUUGGGGAUUUGGGGAGAUUUUUUGGGCAGUUUUUGCGGGAUUUGGGAGGAUUUUUGGGAAAUUUUUGUUUAUUUUGGUGAGUUUUGGGAUAUUUGGGGCAGUUUUGGGAUAUUUUGGGAUAUUUUGGGGCAUUUUCAGGUCAUUUUGGGGCAGAUUUGGGAUAUUUUUGGAUAUUUUGGGGCAGUUUUGGGCUAUUUCAGGUCAGUUUUGGGCUAUUUUGGGAUAUUUUGGGUCAGUUUUGGGACAUUUUGGGGCAAUUUUUGACAUUUUGGGGCAGUUUGGGGGCAUUUGGGGCUAUUUUGGGGCAGUUUUUGGCUAUUUUGGGGUAUUUUGGGAUAUUUUGGGACAUUUUGGAAUAUUUUGGGGCUGUCUGCGUAUUUUGGGAUAUUUUGGGGCAGUUUCGGGUGAUUUUGGGGCAGUUUGGGACAUUUUGGGUCCGUUUUGGGCUAUUUUGGGAUAUUUCGGGUCAGUUUUGGGCUAUUUCGGGGUGUUUUGGGCUAUUUUGGGGCAUUUUCGGGUGAUUUUGGGUCAGUUUUGGGCUAUUUUGGGUAUUUUGAGUCAUUUUGGGUCAGUUUUGGGCUAUUUCGGGGUGUUUUGGGCUAUUUUGGGGCAUUUUCGGGUGAUUUUGGGAUAUUUCGGGUCAGGUUUGGGCUAUUUUGGGUCAGUUUUUGGCUAUUUUGGGUCAGUUUUGGGCUAUUUUGGGUCAUUUUGGGAUAUUUCGGGUCAGUUUUGGGCUAUUGGGGGCAGUUUUUGGCUGUUUUGGGCUAUUUUGGGUCAGUUUUGGGUUAUUUUGGGUCGUUUUGGGCUAUUUUGGGACAGUUUUGGGCUAUUUUGGGGCAGUUUUGGGUUAUUUUGGGGCAGUUUUUGGGUCAUUUCGGGCCAGUUUUGGGCUAUUUUGGGUCAUUUGGGGUCAGUUUUGGGCCAUUUUGGGGCAGUUUUUGGCUGUUUUGGGGUAUUUUGGGUCAGUUUUGGGCUAUUUUGGGGCAGUUUUGGGGCAGUUUUUGGGUAUUUUGGGUCAGUUUUGGGCUAUUUUGGGUCAGUUUUGGGCUAUUUUGGGGCAGUUUUGGGGCUAUUUUGGGGCAGUUUUGGGGCAGUUUUUGGGUAUUUCGGGUCUCACCUGCUGCUGAGGCCCCUCCAGGGCCGGGCCCAGCGCCCCUGUGGGAACGGCCCCAAUUAAUACCCUUAAUUAAUGACUAAUUAACCCUUCAUUAACCCUGAAUAAACCACUAAUUAACCAUGAAACCCGACGGUUC